Molecule: ribosomal RNA, 1377 nt
Filed under: Streptomyces sp. Act72
Lineage: Bacteria; Bacillati; Actinomycetota; Actinomycetes; Kitasatosporales; Streptomycetaceae
Description: bacterial SSU rRNA
Rfam family: Bacterial small subunit ribosomal RNA
Source: RNAcentral
ACGAUGAACCACUUCGGUGGGGAUUAGUGGCGAACGGGUGAGUAACACGUGGGCAAUCUGCCCUGCACUCUGGGACAAGCCCUGGAAACGGGGUCUAAUACCGGAUAUUGACCUUCACGGGCAUCUGUGAGGUUCGAAAGCUCCGGCGGUGCAGGAUGAGCCCGCGGCCUAUCAGCUUGUUGGUGAGGUAAUGGCUCACCAAGGCGACGACGGGUAGCCGGCCUGAGAGGGCGACCGGCCACACUGGGACUGAGACACGGCCCAAACUCCUACGGGAGGCAGCAGUGGGGAAUAUUGCACAAUGGGCGAAAGCCUGAUGCAGCGACGCCGCGUGAGGGAUGACGGCCUUCGGGUUGUAAACCUCUUUCAGCAGGGAAGAAGCGAAAGUGACGGUACCUGCAGAAGAAGCGCCGGCUAACUACGUGCCAGCAGCCGCGGUAAUACGUAGGGCGCAAGCGUUGUCCGGAAUUAUUGGGCGUAAAGAGCUCGUAGGCGGCUUGUCACGUCGGUUGUGAAAGCCCGGGGCUUAACCCCGGGUCUGCAGUCGAUACGGGCAGGCUAGAGUUCGGUAGGGGAGAUCGGAAUUCCUGGUGUAGCGGUGAAAUGCGCAGAUAUCAGGAGGAACACCGGUGGCGAAGGCGGAUCUCUGGGCCGAUACUGACGCUGAGGAGCGAAAGCGUGGGGAGCGAACAGGAUUAGAUACCCUGGUAGUCCACGCCGUAAACGGUGGGCACUAGGUGUGGGCAACAUUCCACGUUGUCCGUGCCGCAGCUAACGCAUUAAGUGCCCCGCCUGGGGAGUACGGCCGCAAGGCUAAAACUCAAAGGAAUUGACGGGGGCCCGCACAAGCGGCGGGAGCAUGUGGCUUAAUUCGACGCAACGCGAAGAACCUUACCAAGGCUUGACAUACACCGGAAACGGCCAGAGAUGGUCGCCCCCUUGUGGUCGGUGUACAGGUGGUGCAUGGCUGUCGUCAGCUCGUGUCGUGAGAUGUUGGGUUAAGUCCCGCAACGAGCGCAACCCUUGUCCCGUGUUGCCAGCAAGCUCCUUCGGGGGUGUUGGGGACUCACGGGAGACCGCCGGGGUCAACUCGGAGGAAGGUGGGGACGACGUCAAGUCAUCAUGCCCCUUAUGUCUUGGGCUGCACACGUGCUACAAUGGCCGGUACAAUGAGCUGCGAUACCGCAAGGUGGAGCGAAUCUCAAAAAGCCGGUCUCAGUUCGGAUUGGGGUCUGCAACUCGACCCCAUGAAGUCGGAGUCGCUAGUAAUCGCAGAUCAGCAUUGCUGCGGUGAAUACGUUCCCGGGCCUUGUACACACCGCCCGUCACGUCACGAAAGUCGGUAACACCCGAAGCCGGUGGCCCAACCCCUUGUGG